AGACGUGAGGUCAAUCUGGAUGUGAUCUCUCACUCCAGCCAUCACCAGAGUUUAUCUGGCUGAUCUGGCUGGUUAGGAAGCCAUUCUCUUCUCUCUUAAACACUCCCCAUGUGCCCUUUCAUAAGUUGCAGUCUCAGUCAGAGAAGAGGACCACUGCUGAUUGUUGGUGAUGUGUGUGCUACUAAGCUCCCUUGUUUGCCUUUCCUCACAGGCUCUCACAGGUUCUAAAAGUCAUCUCUAAGCCCGUCUAAUGCUAUGACGUGUUG
This 266-nucleotide small RNA is filed under the name Tursiops truncatus (common bottlenose dolphin). RNAcentral's name for it is "7SK RNA (ENSTTRG00000025019.1)". The stretch from base 1 to 180 matches the Rfam family "7SK RNA". Rfam says of the family: 7SK was discovered as an abundant small nuclear RNA in the mid-70s but a possible function has only recently been suggested. Two independent studies have found that 7SK RNA binds the CDK9/cyclin T complex (known as elongation factor P-TEFb). The record is from RNAcentral. Lineage: Eukaryota; Metazoa; Chordata; Mammalia; Artiodactyla; Delphinidae.